AGGCAUUCCAAUAAGAAUCUCGUUGCCAUAUUCGAGAGCAAGAACCCGCAAAGCCUGAGUUAUGAAGUGCAGGGGCAGCCAAGUUACCAACAACAAGAUUUAGAAGUUGCACCAUGUAUCCCAGGGAAGUAGCAAGCUCUUCUGAUGGAACAGAAUGAGGAUCAAGUCCUCUAGGUAAGCGUGCAUUGCAUAUUUGAUCAUAUUGACCAUU
This 211-nucleotide unclassified non-coding RNA is filed under the name Hevea brasiliensis (rubber tree). The record is from RNAcentral. Lineage: Eukaryota; Viridiplantae; Streptophyta; Magnoliopsida; Malpighiales; Euphorbiaceae.